CCUACGGGUGGCUGCAGUGGGGAAUAUUGCACAAUGGGGGAAACCCUGAUGCAGCGACGUCGCGUGAGUGAAGAAGGCAUUCGUUAUGGAAAGCUCUUUCAGCAGGGAAGAAAAUGACGGUACCUGAGUACGAAGCUCCGGCUAACUACGUGCCAGCAGCCGGGGUAAUACGUAGGGGGCAAGCGUUAUCCGGAUUUACUGGGGGUAAAGGGAGUGUAGCCGGCAGUGAAAGUCUGGAGUGAAAGGUGAGGGCUCAACCCACGGACUGCUGUGGAAACUGUACGGCUGGAGUGCAGGAGAGGUAAGUGGAAUUCGUGGUGUAGCGGUGAAAUGCGUAGAUAUUAGGAGGAACGCCAGUGGCGAAGGCAGCUUACUGGACUGUAACUGACGUUGAGGCUCGAAAGCGUGGGGAGCAAACAGGAUUAGAUACCCUGGUAGUC
Molecule: ribosomal RNA, 440 nt
Filed under: uncultured bacterium
Lineage: Bacteria
Description: partial 16S ribosomal RNA
Rfam family: Bacterial small subunit ribosomal RNA
Source: RNAcentral